AGUACCAUCAACAACAAGAACAACAUAAAAUGAGAUAUCUGUGAGGUUUCCAUUAAUGAAAACUGAAGAUUCUGAGACCUAUUUCAGCUCUGGGAGCUGCCUACAGACAAGCAAGUACAGUAUUGAAAAGAGCCGCUUUGGGGAGACAGUUUGCAGAAAUUUCUUCCUCGGGGUUUCCAUCUAACAGGUGCUAUUUCCAUAGGAGCGAGAAGAAGAUGAGCAGCCAAAACAAAAAAGCAAGUAGAUUGUUGAUGACGAACGCCACAAUUGCAAGUGCUAUGAAAGCGAAGUGCUGAAGAAGAAGAGUCAAUGACGGCACUUAAAGAGAAAAUGUCAUUCCUAGGACUUAUCCAGAUGGAAAUCACCUGUCUAUCAUCUGAAACUCAGCUCAGUCAAGACUUCCAUGACCACACCAGAGAGCUAUACACUCUCUCCUCUAUAAAGCCAUAAUGUUUUCCUUGAACACAACUGUAUUUCAGCAUUUGAUCAUAGUCCUCUACUUCCCAUGUCUGUCUCCACUACCACAGUGUAAACUACGGAAGGGCAGAGAACACAACUCAUACACAGCCACAACUUCAUAGCCCGGCAGAUCGUGAGCAUACGGGAGGUGCUCUAUAUCUGAAGCAUGAAUAUUUAAGACCAGGAAGCCUGGCUAAAACAUCUACCCUCAAUAUCCUUGCUGUAGAGAUUGCUGUAGUACUUUGGUUUGAAUUAUUCUUUUUUUUUUUCCUUAGAAGACACUUUACAUUUUACCUACAGAUUAAGUGAAUCCGAUUAAUUCAUUUGCGAGGUUCGAGUUCUUAGAUAAUUCAUAUCACCUCCAUAAUAAUUCUUUUGGUAGAUAUAUGGUU
This is a long non-coding RNA of Diceros bicornis minor, 851 nucleotides long. RefSeq lists it as uncharacterized. The transcript has 5 exons. The record is from RefSeq and is a predicted model, not a curated record. Lineage: Eukaryota; Metazoa; Chordata; Mammalia; Perissodactyla; Rhinocerotidae.